UGGGGAAUAUUGGACAAUGGGGGCAACCCUGAUCCAGCGAUGCCGCGUGUGUGAAGAAGGCCUUCGGGUUGUAAAGCACUUUCAGCGAGGAGGAAGGGAGUUGUGUUAAUAGCACAGCUUCUUGACGUUACUCGCAGAAGAAGCACCGGCUAACUCUGUGCCAGCAGCCGCGGUAAUACAGAGGGUGCAAGCGUUAAUCGGAAUUACUGGGCGUAAAGCGCGCGUAGGUGGUUUGUUAAGUUGGAUGUGAAAGCCCCGGGCUCAACCUGGGAACUGCAUCCAAAACUGGCAAGCUAGAGUACGGUAGAGGGUGGUGGAAUUUCCUGUGUAGCGGUGAAAUGCGUAGAUAUAGGAAGGAACACCAGUGGCGAAGGCGACCACCUGGACUGAUACUGACACUGAGGUGCGAAAGCGUGGGGAGCAAACAGGAUUAGAUACCCCCGUAGUCCCUGAGCGGGCUGGCAAGGCGCAU
Molecule: ribosomal RNA, 472 nt
Filed under: uncultured bacterium
Lineage: Bacteria
Description: bacterial SSU rRNA
Rfam family: Bacterial small subunit ribosomal RNA
Source: RNAcentral